Molecule: long non-coding RNA, 2786 nt
Filed under: Podarcis lilfordi (Lilford's wall lizard)
Lineage: Eukaryota; Metazoa; Chordata; Lepidosauria; Squamata; Lacertidae
Source: RNAcentral
CACGUGUUGCAAGUGAUGGGCUAAUUAACAGCACUACUCCGGUCACGAAGAGUCGGACACGAGUAAACGACUAAACAACAAACAACUCCGGAGUCGAGGUGAGCCUCUCGAGCCCUGUGCCUGUAAUGUACUCCGAAACUGAAGCCCCACCCCGAGGGAAGCUUUGCAGGGAAGGGCUGAGCCGCGCGGCUGCUGUGUUACACAUAAAACGUUCAGCAGUAUCAUCACGCCUUCUUACUAGGGAGAUACUGCUAGAUCAGAUUAUGGCAACCAGAUUACGGAACUCCCUCCUGCAAAAGGUGAAGUCCGCCCCCCCUUUGUGGCACUUUUUCUUCCUUUUUUUUUUAAUUCCACCUCGUCUUGGGGCUGCAAUCCUACACUUAACCUCCAUGGAAGUGGGGGCUUUCUUCUGACUAGACAUAGAUAGGACUGAGCUGCGAGCGAUGUAUUUUUAAACUGACCCACUUAGAAUCCUGGAACUAUAGAGUUGUACGGAAUUUCGUCUAGUUCCAACCCCCUGCAAUGCAGGGGUCACAGCUAAAGAAGUCCUGACAGAUGGCCAUUCAACCUCUGUUUAAUAAACAUCAAUGAAGGAUAGUCUAUCUCUUCCCAAGAUAGUGUGUUCCCCUUACCACCAGAAAUAUCUUAUUUAGGUGGAAUCUCCUUCCUUUUAAUCUGGAUCCACUGACUCACAUCCUACCCUCUGGAGCAGCAGAAACAAGCUAGCGGCAUCUUCCAUGUGACAACCAGUCAGAUCUUUGAAGGUGGCUAUCAUAUCGCCUCUCAGUCUUCUCUUCUCCAGGCUAAACAUACCCAACUCCCUCAACCAUUUCUCAUGGAGCUUGGUUUACAGAUCCUUGAUCCUCUUGGUGGCCUCCUCUGCACACAGCUUGUCAACAUCCUUCCUAAAUUGUGGUGCCCAGAACUGGACACAGUACUCCUGGUCUUCUGGUGUGGUCUGACCAAAAUAGAAUAUUAUUAUUAUCAUUAUUAUUAUUAUUAUUAUUAUUAUUCAUACCCUGCCCAUCUGGCUGGGUUUCCCCAGCCACUCUGGGCGGCUUCCAACCAAAUUUUAAAAUACAGUAAUACAUCAAGCAUUAAAAGCUUCCCUAAACAGGGCUGCCUUCAGAUGUCUUCUAAAAGUUUGGUAGUUAUUUUUCUCUUUGACAUCUGGUGGGAGGGCGUUCCACAGGGCGGGCGCCACUACUGAGAAGGCCUUCUGCCUCGUUCCCUGUAAUUUGGCUUCUCGCAGUGAGGGAACCACCAGAAGGCCCUCGGCGCUGGACCUCAGUGUCCAGGUAGAACGAUGGAGGUGGAGAUGCUCCUUCAGAUAUACUGGACCGAGGCCAUUUAGGGCUUUAAAGCACCAGCACUUUGAAUUGUGCUCGGAAACAUACUGGGAGCCAAUGUAGGUCUUUCAAGACCGGUGUUAUGUGGUCUUGGCGGCCGCUCCCAGUCACCAGUCUAGCUGCUGCAUUCUGGAUUAGUUGUAGUUUCCGGGUCACCUUCAAAGGUAGCCCUACGUAGAGCGCAUUGCAGUAGUCCAAGUGGGAGAUAACCAGAGCAUGCACUACUCUGGCAAGGCAGUCUGCGGGCAGAUAGGGUCUCAGCCUGCGUACCAGAUGGAGCUGGUAAACAGCUGCCCUGGACACAGAUUUGACCUGUGCCUCCAUGGACAGCUGUGAGUCCAAAAUGACUCCCAGGCUGCGCACCUGGUCCUUCAAGGGCACAGUAACCCCAUUCAGAACCAGGGAGUCCUCCACACUCGCCCACCAGUGGUUAAGAGCGGUAGUCUCGUAAUCUGGGGAACCGGGUUCGCGUCUCCGCUCCUCCACAUGCAGCUGCUGGGUGACCUUGGGCCAGUCACACUUCUCUGAAGUCUCUCAGCCCCACUCACCUCACAGAGUGUUUGUUGUGGGGGAGGAAGGGAAAGGAGAAUGUUAGCCGCUCUGAGACUCCUGAAGGGGAGUGAAAGGCGGGAUAUCAAAUCCAAACUCUUCUUCUUCUUCUCCUGUCUAUUACUUCCUUUGAACUGGACACUAUACUUCUGUUGAUACAGCCUAGGGUUUUUUUGCUGCUGUAUCACACCAUUCACUCAUGUUAAGCUUGUGGUCUUUCUUUAUGUCUAGCUUGUUGUUUGUGGCCCAGGGAUUUGUUAGGUACAGUACAUAAAUGACUGGGGCACAGAAUGGUGGCACACAUUUGUAUGUUUAUGUAUGCAAAUUUGGGGUGAUUUUCAGAGGUGAUGGUGGAAGACCUCUGGCUCUUGGUCCCCAGGUUUACUGUGAGUUAGUGAGGUACCAACAAGAUUUUAUGGGCCCAGUACACUGUAUAGUACUCUGCAAAAUAAGAUGGAAAGUUGCUGGGGUCUCCCAAGCACUGCACUUUGCAAUGGGUCCAACUACCCUGAAAGCAAUGUUUAAAAGUUUUUUUUUAAGAGGAGCAGAAGAUCCAGGGCCCUGAGCCACUGCCACCCUACCUCCCUGUUUUGCUCCUCUAAUGCUGCUGUUUUAAUAUUUUCCAGAUUCCCACUCUGAAGGAGCCUGAGAGGGUGGUGACAAUGAAAAGGGCCUUUGCAGUUGUGGCUCUCCACCUGUAGAAUGUUCUCCCUAGCAAGGUCCACUUGGCACCUUCUCAGACAUCAUUUUGGCACCAACUAAAGACUUACCUGUGAAUUGUAGUUUUUUUUCUGGAUUUAUCAGUUUACGGAUUUGUUAAUGGCAUAGUAAUGUAUUCAUGUUUGUUCUUAACUGUGUCGUAAGUCACCCAAAUACGUUUAUGUAACA